GUCCACACUGUAACGAUGAUUACUAGGUGUUGGAGGAUUGACCCUUCAGUGCCGCAGUUAACACAAUAAGUAAUCCACCUGGGAGUACGACCGCAAGGUUGAACUCAAAGGAAUUGACGGGCCCGCACAAGCAGUGGAGUAUGUGGUUAAUUCGACGCAACGCGAAGAACCUUACCAAGUCUUGACAUCCUGCGACGGUGCUGGAAACAGUACUUUCCUUCGGGACGCAGAGACAGGUGGUGCAUGGUUGUCGU
RNAcentral lists this ribosomal RNA (254 nucleotides) under uncultured bacterium. RNAcentral describes it as "partial 16S ribosomal RNA". It matches the Rfam family "Bacterial small subunit ribosomal RNA", at positions 793 to 1055 of the family's 1533-position model. The record is from RNAcentral.